This 454-nucleotide ribosomal RNA is filed under the name uncultured bacterium. RNAcentral describes it as "bacterial SSU rRNA". It matches the Rfam family "Bacterial small subunit ribosomal RNA", at positions 340 to 786 of the family's 1533-position model. The record is from RNAcentral.
UACGGAAGGCAGCAGUGGGGAAUAUUGCACAAUGGGCGAAAGCCUGAUGCAGCUAUGCCGCGUGUAUGAAGAAGGCCUUAGGGUUGUAAAGUACUUUCAUCGGGGAGGAAAAAACAAAACUAAUAAUUUUAUUUCUUGACGUUACCCGAAAAAGAAGCACCGGCUAACUCCGUGCCAGCAGCCGCGGUAAUACGGAGGGUGCUAGCGUUAAUCAGAAUUACUGGGCGUAAAGAGCACGUAGGUGGUUUUUUUAAAGUCAGAUGUGAAAUCCCUGGGCUUAACCUAGGAACUGCAUUUUGAAACUGAAAUACUAGAGUAUCGUAGAGGGAGGUAGAAUUCUAGGUGUAGCGGUGAAAUGCGUAGAUAUCUGGAGGAUACCUGUGGCGAAGCGGCCUCUAAACGAAUACUGACACUGAGGUGCGAAAGCGUGGGGAGCAAACGAGGAUUAGAUACC